GGGGUCGACUGGUUUUGACAGCGAGAUUAAUUAAACGGUAAGCACGUCGUGUAAUGACUUUGAAACACGUAAAAGGCUAGGUCACACUUUUAAACGGCGAGAAUAACUACGCUUUAGCUGCUUAAUCCGAAUUAUAGUAGGAUUGGCCUCGGUGCACUAGGUGUACGAGCUAAAUGUCUCCUGAAAGCCUUGAUUAACGGCGUUCUAUAAGAGGCAUCGUAAAUGUUAAUAUAGAAAGUAAAACGCUUCGGGUUACUUUUGAAACUAAAGAAGAUAAGUUGUAGGUGGGUUGUCUUUAACCAGCUUGCAAUCGAAAACCCAAGAAAAGAAUAAACGUGUAGAAGGCUCUUUAUUUACUUGUUUGGACGAGAGUUCGAUUCUCUCCGACUCCACC
This 394-nucleotide transfer-messenger RNA is filed under the name Xanthomarina arctica. RNAcentral describes it as "Bizionia arctica transfer-messenger RNA". It matches the Rfam family "transfer-messenger RNA". Rfam says of the family: Bacterial tmRNA, also known as 10Sa RNA or SsrA, is named for its dual tRNA and mRNA-like properties. Its role is to liberate the mRNA from a stalled ribosome. The record is from RNAcentral. Lineage: Bacteria; Pseudomonadati; Bacteroidota; Flavobacteriia; Flavobacteriales; Flavobacteriaceae.